This 525-nucleotide long non-coding RNA is filed under the name Thrips palmi. Its description in RNAcentral is "uncharacterized LOC117652375, transcript variant X2". Lineage: Eukaryota; Metazoa; Arthropoda; Insecta; Thysanoptera; Thripidae. The record is from RNAcentral.
CCGUUCCGUCAAGCGGCGGAGCGCUGCGGGUUGCCUGUCCCCAGGUCCUGAAUGUCACCCAGGCAUUGUACAAUUUUAUGAUGGUGGUGGCGGAGGAAGCUGAGGGGGCGGCUGCAGAGCAGAAUUGAGUUACGUGUCUGGCGGAAAAUGCCUGUUUUAGUGUGUGUCGCACCUGUAUGGACGUUUCUUUCCCUUAUGUUGUUUGGUUUUGUUUUAUUUAACUUUUUUGUCUCGGCAAUGUUAAUAAUUAUCUCUGGGACUUUUAUUUAUCAUAUGUCCGAUUUUAGUCAAGUUUUGAAUGUUUGUCAAGUUUAUUUUUAGUCAAGUCAAGUCAGUCAAGUCAAGUCAAGUUUUGAUGUUCACUUUUUCUCAGUGCCGCUCAGUAUGAUUGCAAUUCGUUGCUUUUCUGGUAAUGUAGCUUGCUUGAUAUGUAAUAUGUGUACUUAAAUGCUAGUCUAUUUUGAAGGUUUUCUGUUCUGUGUCAGAUUAUCGUAUUUCUUAAAUAAUAAUUUUAAUAAUGAUGAA